GGCGGACGGGUGAGUAACGCGUGGGAAUCUACCCAGUAGUGGGGGACAACUACCGGAAACGGUAGCUAAUACCGCAUACGCCCUAUGGGGGAAAGGCUUCGGCCGCUAUUGGAUGAGCCCGCGUCAGAUUAGCUAGUUGGUAGGGUAAAGGCCUACCAAGGCAACGAUCUGUAGCUGGUCUGAGAGGACGAACAGCCACACUGGGACUGAGACACGGCCCAGACUCCUACGGGAGGCAGCAGUGGGGAAUAUUGGACAAUGGGCGAAAGCCUGAUCCAGCAAUGCCGCGUGUGUGAAGAAGGCCUGCGGGUUGUAAAGCACUUUCAGUUGGGAAGAUGAUGACGUUACCAACAGAAGAAGCACCGGCUAAAUCCGUGCCAGCAGCCGCGGUAAUACGGAUGGUGCGAGCGUUAAUCGGAAUUACUGGGCGUAAAGCGCGCGUAGGCGGCUAAGUCAGUCAGAAGUGAAAGCCCCGGGCUCAACCUGGGAAUUGCUUUUGAUACUGCUUAGCUAGAGUUUGGUAGAGGAUAGUGGAAUUCCAGGUGUAGCGGUGAAAUGCGUAGAUAUCUGGAGGAACAUCAGUGGCGAAGGCGACUGUCUGGACCAAAACUGACGCUGAGGUGCGAAAGCGUGGGUAGCAAACAGGAUUAGAUACCCUGGUAGUCCACGCCGUAAACGAUGUCAACUAGCCGUCGGGUCUAUUUACAGACUUGGUGGCGCAGCUAACGCGAUAAGUUGACC
Molecule: ribosomal RNA, 741 nt
Filed under: uncultured Thiotrichales bacterium
Lineage: Bacteria; Pseudomonadati; Pseudomonadota; Gammaproteobacteria; Thiotrichales
Description: bacterial SSU rRNA
Rfam family: Bacterial small subunit ribosomal RNA
Source: RNAcentral